AAGUCGUAACAAGGUCUCCGUUGGUGAACCAGCGGAGGGAUCAUUAUUGAUUUUACCUAAUUAUAGUGAAUUACAUUGCUUCGUACGUGAGUACGAUAAUUAUAUUAUAGUAAUAAACAAAACAAAUACAAACAACAAAACUUUCAACAACGGAUCUCUUGGCUCUG
Molecule: unclassified non-coding RNA, 167 nt
Filed under: Cornuvesica acuminata
Lineage: Eukaryota; Fungi; Ascomycota; Sordariomycetes; Ophiostomatales; Ophiostomataceae
Description: partial internal transcribed spacer region
Rfam family: Eukaryotic small subunit ribosomal RNA (bases 1-46)
Source: RNAcentral